RNAcentral lists this ribosomal RNA (468 nucleotides) under uncultured bacterium. Its description in RNAcentral is "partial 16S ribosomal RNA". It matches the Rfam family "Bacterial small subunit ribosomal RNA", at positions 28 to 507 of the family's 1533-position model. The record is from RNAcentral.
GACGAACGCUGGCGGCGUGCUUAACACAUGCAAGUCGAACGGAAAGGCCCUGCUUUUGUGGGGUGCUCGAGUGGCGAACGGGUGAGUAACACGUGAGUAACCUGCCCUUGACUUUGGGAUAACUUCAGUAAACUGGGGCUAAUACCGGAUAGGAGCGCCUGCUGCAUGGGGGGGGUUGGAAAGUUUCGGCGGUUGGGGAUGGACUCGCGGCUUAUCAGCUGGUGGGUGGUGUAGUGGCUUACCAAGGCUUUGACGGGUAGCCGGCCUUGGAGGGUGACCGGCCACAUUGGGACUGAGGUACGGCCCAGAAUACUACGGGAGGCAGCAGUGGGGAAUAUUGCACAAUGGGCGGAAGCCUGAUGCAGCAACGCCGCGUGCGGGAUGAAGGACUUCGGGGUGUCAACAGCUUUCGCUUGUGACGAAGAGUGAGUGACGGUAAUGGGUAAAGAAGCACCGGCUAACUACGUG